Molecule: non-coding RNA, 671 nt
Organism: Odocoileus virginianus texanus
Lineage: Eukaryota; Metazoa; Chordata; Mammalia; Artiodactyla; Cervidae
Source: RefSeq, a predicted model, not a curated record
UCUGUGACUGUGAGCGGGAGGGAGGCCGCGGCGCUCUGUGACUGUGAGCGGGAGGGAGGCGCGGGAGAGCCUCCGAGAAAGGUGGCUCCAGUAGCUGACUCCUGCUUGGAGGGCAUUUCUCCUCAUCCCCUGGGAACUACCACCUAGGGCUUCAAAAUUUUCAGUUUUCAAACUUCAUCAACCAGCAAUGCUGUUUUACUCUUGAAUGACUGGUUGUCAUCUUCCCAAUCUUCUAGAUGUUUUUUUAUAAGCUCUUCUCCUUCCUUGAAGUGGGGUGAUACCAAGACUUCACCAAGGCUUAACUUCAGAGGACACAGCCCCAGACAGACGGAAGAGAGAAGCCUGGUUCCACAUUCGAGAUUCUGCUUGUCUCAACCCAGGAAGUCAUCGUGGAGACAGGAGACAGGAAAAGGAAAACAUGGACAGGAUGACACAGGACCUCUAAAACCCCUUUCCCUCUGAGAGCGCCAGGCUUUACCCUGCGGUCACUGCCAGCCUCCGUGUUGGGCAAAAGACCAACACGUUCAUCUAGGGAGAAACUCAGAAACAGAGAGGUUCAGUGAUUGAAUGCCACUCACUCAGCAAAUCCAGGGAUCCAUUUCAUUUGCUCUCCGUUCAGGAUCCUGUUGUUUACUGCACAGCUGGCGACUUUGACAGCUUAAUAAAAUCAA